This 500-nucleotide ribosomal RNA is filed under the name uncultured bacterium. Its description in RNAcentral is "bacterial SSU rRNA". It matches the Rfam family "Bacterial small subunit ribosomal RNA", at positions 28 to 525 of the family's 1533-position model. The record is from RNAcentral.
GAUUAACGCUGGCGGCAUGCCUAAUACAUGCAAGUCGAACGGAAGCAGCAAUGCUUUAGUGGCGAACGGGUGAGUAACACGUAGGGAACCUACCUAUACGACGAGGAUAACUACUGGAAACGGUAGCUAAAACUGGAUAGGAUCAAUUGAGGCAUCUUGAUUGAUUUAAAGAUCCUUCGGGAUUACGUAGAGAUGGCCCUGCGGCGCAUUAGCUAGUUGGUGAGGUAACGGCCCACCAAGGCGACGAUGCGUAGCUGAGCUGAGAGGCUAAACAGCCACACUGGGACUGAGACACGGCCCAGACUCCUACGGGAGGCAGCAGUAGGGAAUUUUCGGCAAUGGGGGAAACCCUGACCGAGCAAUGCCGCGUGAACGAUGAAGGUCUUCGGAUUGUAAAGCUCUGUUGUAAGGGAAGAACGGUACAUAGAGGGAAUGCUAUGUAAGUGACGGUACCUUACCAGAAAGCCACGGCUAACUACGUGCCAGCAGCCGCGGUAAUU